Molecule: ribosomal RNA, 448 nt
Filed under: uncultured bacterium
Lineage: Bacteria
Description: partial 16S ribosomal RNA
Rfam family: Bacterial small subunit ribosomal RNA
Source: RNAcentral
CCCAGACUCCUACGGGAGGCAGCAGUGGGGAAUAUUGGACAAUGGGGGGAACCCUGAUCCAGCGACGCCGCGUGAGUGAAGAAGUAUUUCGGUAUGUAAAGCUCUAUCAGCAGGGAAGAAAGAAAUGACGGUACCUGACUAAGAAGCCCCGGCUAACUACGUGCCAGCAGCCGCGGUAAUACGUAGGGGGCAAGCGUUAUCCGGAUUUACUGGGUGUAAAGGGAGCGUAGACGGCGAUGCAAGUCUGAAGUGAAAGGCGGGGGCCCAACCCCCGGACUGCUUUGGAAACUGUAUGGCUGAAGUGCAGGAGAGGUAAGUGGAAUUCCUAGUGUAGCGGUGAAAUGCGUAGAUAUUAGGAGGAACACCAGUGGCGAAGGCGGCUUACUGGACUGUAACUGACGUUGAGGCUCGAAAGCGUGGGGAGCAAACAGGAUUAGAUACCCGUACC